ACCUCAGUGGUGUAGUGGUAGCAUGCGUGCCCACCAUGGAUGAAACUCAGGUUCGACUCUCGCCUGAGGUC
Molecule: non-coding RNA, 71 nt
Organism: Parelaphostrongylus tenuis
Lineage: Eukaryota; Metazoa; Nematoda; Chromadorea; Rhabditida; Metastrongylidae
Source: the annotation of a GenBank genome assembly